AUUGAACGCUGGCGGCAUGCCUUACACAUGCAAGUCGAACGGCAGCGCGGACUUCGGUCUGGCGGCGAGUGGCGAACGGGUGAGUAAUACAUCGGAACGUACCCUGUUGUGGGGGAUAACUAGUCGAAAGAUUAGCUAAUACCGCAUACGACCUGAGGGUGAAAGUGGGGGACCGCAAGGCCUCACGCAGCAGGAGCGGCCGAUGUCUGAUUAGCUAGUUGGUGGGGUAAAGGCCCACCAAGGCGACGAUCAGUAGGUGGUCUGAGAGGACGAUCAGCCACACUGGGACUGAGACACGGCCCAGACUCCUACGGGAGGCAGCAGUGGGGAAUUUUGGACAAUGGGGGCAACCCUGAUCCAGCAAUGCCGCGUGUGUGAAGAAGGCCUUCGGGUUGUAAAGCACUUUUGUCCGGAAAGAAAUCGCGCUGGUUAAUACCUGGCGUGGAUGACGGUACCGGAAGAAUAAGCACCGGCUAACUACGUG
This 484-nucleotide ribosomal RNA is filed under the name uncultured bacterium. RNAcentral describes it as "partial 16S ribosomal RNA". It matches the Rfam family "Bacterial small subunit ribosomal RNA", at positions 30 to 507 of the family's 1533-position model. The record is from RNAcentral.